Molecule: non-coding RNA, 108 nt
Organism: Acanthosepion pharaonis
Lineage: Eukaryota; Metazoa; Mollusca; Cephalopoda; Sepiida; Sepiidae
Source: the annotation of a GenBank genome assembly
UUACGGCCAUAUCACGUUGAAACAUCGGUUCCCGUACAAACACCGAAGUUAAGCAACUUAGAGCCUGUUAAGUACCUAGAUUGGUAACCGCUUCGGAAUACCAGGUGU